CUGGUUGAUCCUGCCAGUAGUCAUAUGCUUGUCUCAGAGAUUAAGUCAUACAUUUCUAAGUACGUACCUUAAAAAGGUGAAACCGCGAAUGGAUCAUUAAAUCAGCUAUGGUUCCAUAGAUCAUACAUACUACAUAGAUAACUGUAGUAAUUCUAGAGCUAAUACAUGCAAUUAUGCCCUGACCCGCAAGGGAACGGGUGCAUUAAUUAGAACAGAACCAUCCGGGGGCAGUUUCGGCUUUCUCUGUUGAAUUCUGUGAUGACUCUGGAUAACUUUAAUGGUCGCUUUUGGCCUUGCGUUAGCGACGGAUCUUUCAAAUGUCUGCCCUAUCAAUUUGUUGUUAGGUGAUCUACCUGCCAUGAUAAUAACGUGUAACGGGGAAUCAGGGUUCGAUUCCGGAGAGGGAGCCUGAGAAAUGGCUACCACAUCCAAGGAAGGCAGCAGGCGCGAAAACAUCAAGGAACAUCAGGUAGCAAUAUUAUAUAAACCCUAACCUUGUAGAGCUUAUACC
Molecule: non-coding RNA, 511 nt
Filed under: Trichobilharzia regenti
Lineage: Eukaryota; Metazoa; Platyhelminthes; Trematoda; Strigeidida; Schistosomatidae
Description: Eukaryotic small subunit ribosomal RNA
Rfam family: Eukaryotic small subunit ribosomal RNA
Source: Rfam by way of RNAcentral